RNAcentral lists this long non-coding RNA (1506 nucleotides) under Homo sapiens (human). Its description in RNAcentral is "HSALNT0253544". Lineage: Eukaryota; Metazoa; Chordata; Mammalia; Primates; Hominidae. The record is from RNAcentral.
AGGACACGCAGAAACAGCACCCUCCUGGAGAAAGGGCCCCACUCAGCCUGCCCUGGCCUUGCUGGAGGUGGGGCUUUUCGGGAAAAGAACGAGGAGGCUGAAGACAGGAAAGCCAGCGGGUGGGGAGGCUGGGACCCUGGGGGAGGGGUGGGAACAUUGUGAAGGCCACACCCCAAGCCCUGGGGCCCUGUAUUGGGUCUUUGUUGCAUUGCUAUAAAGAAAUACCUGAGACUGGGUGAUUUAUAAAGGAGAGAAAUUCGACUGGCUCAUGGUUCUGCAGGCCGUACAGGAAGCCUGGUGCUGGCAGAUCUGCUUCUAGGGAGUUCUCAGGAAGCUUCUGGUCAUGGUGGAAGGCAAUGCGGAGCCAGCGAGUCACAUGAUGAGACCCCGAGCAAGAAAGAGAGGCCGGGAGGUGCCACACUCUACAACAACCAGAACGUGCCUGUGUAAUCAGAACCCAGAAAAGGGAAAAGAGCAUUCUUCACCACACAGAAGUCCUGGUGACAGUCUUUCUAGUUAUCGGCCCACUGCAAGGCAACCUGGAGCUGUGCGGACUGAGACUGAGAUGCAUCGCUGAAACUCUCUUUAGGUGUUCCCUACCAUUUCUUCUUGGAAAAGAAGGUUUUACCUCCUGGGAUUUUUGAGAACCUCUAACUUCUCCAUUGGGGACCAUCUCCAGGUACCACCAAAAAAGAGCACAACAGCAGCCUUGCGGAUAAGUCCUGGUCUGGAGUCAGCCACCGCUGCACACACCACUCAGAGCUGCAUCAUCGGGUUACCCCUGGAAAGGCUGCCCACACACCCACAUCCAGGGGUGUCUCGUCACUGCUGACGACUAGCACGGAACCUGAAAGCUCAGCAUGAGAUGAAGUGGCUGGAGGCACGUGAGUCCUGCACUGAUAGAGGCCGGUUCUGUCAAGCCUCACCUGGAUGAUGUGUGUGACUCUUCCCAUAGAAAGGAGCAGGCUCUCUCAUGAAGCCUCCAUUCUAGCAUUUUGUGAUCAUCUAUGACCUUAGAGGGGUCCUCUAUAACCCUGAGUCCCAAACAGGUGAAUACAGAGUGGGCUCACACUUAUUUCUCCAUUAUUCCUGUGUUCUUUCAGGAGGCUGACCAUCAAACCUACUUAGAAGUCAGACCUUGAAUGUAAGUACAUGUUGUUCAUUAUCUAUAUCUUUUGCAUGACAGAAUGUCAGUUAUAGGAUAAAUAACAGAGGGUAGGCUGUGUACCAAGUCAUGGUGACAACAAUACAAAGCAAGGCUGGGCGCGGUGGCUCAUGCCUGUAAUCCCAGCACUUUGGGAGGCUGAGGAGGGUGGUUCACGAGGUCAGGAGUUCGAGACCAGCCUGGCCAACAUGGCGGAACCCCAUGUCUACUAAAAAUAGAAAAAUUAGCCAGGCGUGGGUCACAUGACUGUAGUCCCAGCUACUCAGGAGGCUGAGGCAGGGGAAUUGCUUGAACUUGGGAGGCUAAGAUUGCAGUGAGCCGAGAUUGCACCACUGCACUCC